UCAAACAAGAAAUAAAUUUGAUUGGUGCCUAGGAAAUUUCUUUAUGAUUUUUCAAGCUAUAAAAGAACACCAAGAUCAAUUCAUACCACCAUAACAAAAUCUUUUAACAUAAUAACAGUUGUGAGAGUUGGAAAUUGUAAGAGUAUGUCAGGAGUGAAGUUGCUUGGACAUAGUGGGAGCCCUUUUAGUCGCAGAGUUGAAUGGGCUCUGAAUAUUAAGGGCAUAGAAUAUGAGUUGAUAGAAGAAGAUUUACAGAACAAGAGCCCUCUGCUUCUUCAAUCGAACCCUGUUCAUAAGAAGAUCCCUGUGCUGUUGCACAAUGGCAAGCCCAUUGCUGAGUCACUUGUAAUUGUUUAAUAUAUUGAUGACACAUUUGAUGGCCCUUCCACUUUACCUAAAGACCCUUGUGACAGAGCAGUUGCACGUUUCUGGGCUAAGUUCCUCCACGAGAAAGAGGGAUUCCGUGCUAUGUAGGUAUUAUGGAAUGAAUUCAAGUGAUUUGGAGCUUUGAAGUCUGAGUAAAAGCCCAAGGAAUUAAGCCGAGAUCGAGUUGAGGGAUCAACAGAUGAUAGUUAAGAACGAAACAAAGAAUCGAGCGGGCAUACAAUGCAUUGUAUAGUAAAAUGCACAUAACUUUUCACUCAGAACUCUGUUUGGGCUCCACAAUAUAUCGUUGGAAAGCUAUUUGGAAGGGCUACAACUUUUAUGUUUUGUGAUGUCGUAAAUUCCCAAUACAGCGAUGCAUGGUGCGCCGUGCCUGUGAAAAUUUCCUGCAGCCUGUCAGAAUCGGCAAUCUGAACUUUUCCACUGCCGCACCGCAUGGUGCGUCGCACCAUGCGGUGCGAUAGUGCAAAUUUUACAGAGUGGUUGUCUUAUUUCGCGUGGGCAAAGGUAUUUUCGUCUGGGCCCAACCCUACUUGGUAUAAAUACAUGUAAAAACGCUAUUUUGAGGAGGUUGGACAGAUUUGAGACACAUAUUCGACCUAAGGAGGCAGAGACA
Nicotiana tabacum (common tobacco) is the source of this 1000-nucleotide non-coding RNA. NCBI's taxonomy places the organism in Eukaryota, Viridiplantae, Streptophyta, Magnoliopsida, Solanales, Solanaceae. The record is from RefSeq and is a predicted model, not a curated record.